ACUACGGGUGGCAGCAGUGGGGGAUAUUGCACAAUGGGGGGAACCCUGAUGCAGCGACGCCGCGUGGGUGAAGAAGCGCCUCGGCGCGUAAAGCCCUGUCAGCAGGGAAGAAAAUGACGGUACCUGAAGAAGAAGCCCCGGCUAACUACGGGCCAGCAGCCGCGGUAAACGGUAGGGGGCAAGCGUUAUCCGGAAUUACUGGGGGGAAAGGGGGCGCGGGCGGCGAUGCCAGCAAGGAGGUAAAGCCCGGGGCCCAACCCCGGGACUGCUUUUGGACCUGCGUGGAUGGAGUGCAGGAGGGGUAGGCGGAAUUCCUGGUGUAGCGGUGAAAGGCGUAGAUAUCAGGAGGAACACCGGUGGCGAAGGCGGCCUGCUGGACUGCAACUGACGUUGAGGCCCGAAAGCGUGGGGAGCAAACAGGAUUAGAUACCCUAGUAGUC
Molecule: ribosomal RNA, 440 nt
Filed under: uncultured bacterium
Lineage: Bacteria
Description: partial 16S ribosomal RNA
Rfam family: Bacterial small subunit ribosomal RNA
Source: RNAcentral